GCGGGUGUAGCUCAGCUGGUAGAGCGCGACCUUGCCAAGGUCGAGGUCGACGGUUCGAACCCGUUCACCCGCUCCA
RNAcentral lists this transfer RNA (76 nucleotides) under Gammaproteobacteria bacterium. RNAcentral's name for it is "tRNA-Gly". It matches the Rfam family "tRNA". Rfam says of the family: Transfer RNA (tRNA) molecules are approximately 80 nucleotides in length. Their secondary structure includes four short double-helical elements and three loops (D, anti-codon, and T loops). Further hydrogen bonds mediate the characteristic L-shaped molecular structure. tRNAs have two regions of fundamental functional importance: the anti-codon, which is responsible for specific mRNA codon recognition, and the 3' end, to which the tRNAs corresponding amino acid is attached (by aminoacyl-tRNA synthetases). tRNAs cope with the degeneracy of the genetic code in two manners: having more than one tRNA (with a specific anti-codon) for a particular amino acid; and 'wobble' base-pairing, i.e. permitting non-standard base-pairing at the 3rd anti-codon position. Lineage: Bacteria; Pseudomonadati; Pseudomonadota; Gammaproteobacteria. The record is from RNAcentral. RNAcentral also lists the same sequence under 1 other name.